This 497-nucleotide ribosomal RNA is filed under the name uncultured bacterium. Its description in RNAcentral is "partial 16S ribosomal RNA". It matches the Rfam family "Bacterial small subunit ribosomal RNA", at positions 28 to 507 of the family's 1533-position model. The record is from RNAcentral.
GAUGAACGCUGGCGGCGUGCCUAAUACAUGCAAGUCGAGCGAACAGACGAGGAGCUUGCUCCUCUGACGUUAGCGGCGGACGGGUGAGUAACACGUGGAUAACCUACCUAUAAGACUGGGAUAACUUCGGGAAACCGGAGCUAAUACCGGAUAAUAUAUUGAACCGCAUGGUUCAAUAGUGAAAGACGGUUUUGCUGUCACUUAUAGAUGGAUCCGCGCCGCAUUAGCUAGUUGGUAAGGUAACGGCUUACCAAGGCAACGAUGCGUAGCCGACCUGAGAGGGUGAUCGGCCACACUGGAACUGAGACAAGGUCCAGACUCCUAAGGGAGGCAGCAGUAGGGAAUCUUCCGCAAUGGGCGAAAGCUUGAAGGAGCAACGCCGCGUGAGUGAUGAAGGUCUUCGGAUCGUAAAACUCUGUUAUUAGGGAAGAACAAAUGUGUAAGUAACUAUGCACGUCUUGACGGUACCUAAUCAGAAAGCCACGGCUAACUACGUG